AAACCCGGUGAUCUAGCCAUGGGCAGGUUGAAGGUUGGGUAACACUAACUGGAGGACCGAACCGACUAAUGUUGAAAAAUUAGCGGAUGACUUGUGGCUGGGGGUGAAAGGCCAAUCAAACCGGGAGAUAGCUGGUUCUCCCCGAAAGCUAUUUAGGUAGCGCCUCGUGAACUCAUCUUCGGGGGUAGAGCACUGUUUCGGCUAGGGGGCCAUCCCGGCUUACCAAACCGAUGCAAACUCCGAAUACCGAAGAAUGUUAUCACGGGAGACACACGGCGGGUGCUAACGUCCGUCGUGAAGAGGGAAACAACCCAGACCGCCAGCUAAGGUCCCAAAGUCAUGGUUAAGUGGGAAACGAUGUGGGAAGGCACAGACAGCCAGGAUGUUGGCUUAGAAGCAGCCAUCAUUUAAAGAAAGCGUAAUAGCUCACUGGUCGAGUCGGCCUGCGCGGAAGAUGUAACGGGGCUAAACCAUGCACCGAAGCUGCGGCAGCGACGCUUAGGCGUUGUUGGGUAGGGGAGCGUUCUGUAAGCCGUUGAAGGUGGCCUGUGAGGGUUGCUGGAGGUAUCAGAAGUGCGAAUGCUGACAUAAGUAACGAUAAAGCGGGUGAAAAGCCCGCUCGCCGGAAGACCAAGGGUUCCUGUCCAACGUUAAUCGGGGCAGGGUGAGUCGACCCCUAAGGCGAGGCUGAAAAGCGUAGUCGAUGGGAAACAGGUUAAUAUUCCUGUACUUGGUGUUACUGCGAAGGGGGGACGGAGAAGGCUAGGCUAGCCGGGCGACGGUUGUCCCGGUUUAAGCGUGUAGGGGGUGUGACCUGGUAAAUCCGGUUGCAUAUUAACCCUGAGGCGUGAUGACGAUGCACUACGGUGCAGAAGUAGUUGAUGCCCUGCUUCCAGGAAAAUCCUCUAAGCUCCAGGUAACAUUAAAUCGUACCCCAAACCGACACAGGUGGUCAGGUAGAGAAUACCAAGGCGCUUGAGAGAACUCGGGUGAAGGAACUAGGCAAAAUGGUGCCGUAACUUCGGGAGAAGGCACGCUGGCAUGUAGGUGAAGUCCCUCGCGGAUGGAGC
RNAcentral lists this ribosomal RNA (1070 nucleotides) under Serratia marcescens. RNAcentral describes it as "partial 23S ribosomal RNA". It matches the Rfam family "Bacterial large subunit ribosomal RNA", at positions 718 to 1782 of the family's 2925-position model. The record is from RNAcentral. Lineage: Bacteria; Pseudomonadati; Pseudomonadota; Gammaproteobacteria; Enterobacterales; Yersiniaceae.